RNAcentral lists this ribosomal RNA (596 nucleotides) under uncultured bacterium. Its description in RNAcentral is "bacterial SSU rRNA". It matches the Rfam family "Bacterial small subunit ribosomal RNA", at positions 338 to 956 of the family's 1533-position model. The record is from RNAcentral.
CCUACGGGAGGCAGCAGUGGGGAAUUUUCCGCAAUGGGCGAAAGCCUGACGGAGCAACGCCGCGUGAGGGAUGAAGGCCUCUGGGCUGUAAACCUCUUUUAUCAAGGAAGAAGAUCUGACGGUACUUGAUGAAUAAGCCACGGCUAAUUCCGUGCCAGCAGCCGCGGUAAUACGGGAGUGGCAAGCGUUAUCCGGAAUUAUUGGGCGUAAAGCGUCCGCAGGCGGUCUUGUAAGUCUGUCGUUAAAGCGUGGAGCUCAACUCCAUUUCGGCGGUGGAAACUACAAGACUAGAGUGUGGUAGGGGCAGAGGGAAUUCCCGGUGUAGCGGUGAAAUGCGUAGAUAUCGGGAAGAACACCAGUGGCGAAGGCGCUCUGCUGGGCCAUAACUGACGCUCAUGGACGAAAGCUAGGGGAGCGAAAGGGAUUAGAUACCCCUGUAGUCCUAGCCGUAAACGAUGAACACUAGGUGUCGGGGGAAUCGACCCCUCGGUGUCGUAGCUAACGCGUUAAGUGUUCCGCCUGGGGAGUACGCACGCAAGUGUGAAACUCAAAUGAAUUGACGGCUGAGACGNGCGACGACGACGACGAGGGAGAGG